This 557-nucleotide ribosomal RNA is filed under the name uncultured bacterium. Its description in RNAcentral is "bacterial SSU rRNA". It matches the Rfam family "Bacterial small subunit ribosomal RNA", at positions 102 to 694 of the family's 1533-position model. The record is from RNAcentral.
ACGGGUGAGUAACGCGUGGGAAUCUACCGUGCCCUGCGGAAUAGCUCCGGGAAACUGGAAUUAAUACCGCAUACGCCCUACGGGGGAAAGAUUUAUCGGGGUAUGAUGAGCCCGCGUUGGAUUAGCUAGUUGGUGGGGUAAAGACCUACCAAGGCGACGAUCCAUAGCUGGUCUGAGAGGAUGAUCAGCCACAUUGGGACUGAGACACGGCCCAAACUCCUACGGGAGGCAGCAGUGGGGAAUAUUGGACAAUGGGCGCAAGCCUGAUCCAGCCAUGCCGCGUGAGUGAUGAAGGCCUUAGGGUUGUAAAGCUCUUUCACCGGAGAAGAUAAUGACGGUAUCCGGAGAAGAAGCCCCGGCUAACUUCGUGCCAGCAGCCGCGGUAAUACGAAGGGGGCUAGCGUUGUUCGGAAUUACUGGGCGUAAAGCGCACGUAGGCGGAUAUUUAAGUCAGGGGUGAAAUCCCAGAGCUCAACUCUGGAACUGCCUUUGAUACUGGGUAUCUUGAGUAUGGAAGAGGUAAGUGGAAUUCCGAGUGUAGAGGUGAAAUUCGUAGA